Molecule: ribosomal RNA, 246 nt
Filed under: uncultured Fastidiosipila sp.
Lineage: Bacteria; Bacillati; Bacillota; Clostridia; Eubacteriales; Oscillospiraceae
Description: partial 16S ribosomal RNA
Rfam family: Bacterial small subunit ribosomal RNA
Source: RNAcentral
GUGUCACACAGGACCGCCGGUCUUAAGCCGGAGGAAGUGGGGAUGACGUCAAGUCAGCAUGGCCUUUAUGUCCAGGGCUACACACACGCUACAAUGGUCAGCACAAUAGGUAGCCAAGCCGCGAGGUGGAGCCAAUCCUCAAAGCUGGCCUCAGUUCAGAUCGCAGGCUGCAACCCGCCUGCGUGAAGCCGGAGUUGCUAGUAACCGCAGGUCAGCAAUACUGCGGUGAAUACGUUCCCGGGUCUU